CCGGGUGCUGUUUUGGUCCCAGUGUAUGAGAGGUUACAAGUAACAUCUACAUUACUUGUCUUAGAUGUGGAUGAUACAGGCAGAAUUAUAAAAAAUAAAAGGGAAGCAGCUGCAGGGGUGAUGACUCCAAGGGGGAAAGGUCUUUGUGCAAAAGGAAAUUCCACAGCAAAUUUGCCUCAGAUGAUACUAGUGCUGCUCUGUUUGGACUCAGUACAUUCUUUUUGUUCAAGUAUUUAUAGAUUAAGCUCUCCAAAAGUUGUGAGUCUGGUUUUGUGAUGUGUUCUGGGUGGACAUAGGCCUAAGGAAGGACAGCGGGCUUUGGCAUCCCUUUUCUGAGAGUCCGUGGAAGGACAAGCUCUUGGAAGACUGUGGUUGUGCUUUAGGCAGCAUGGCAGACACGAAUAUUUAAAUAUGUUGGCAAUAGCAGGAAGAAUUACUCUGUAAAAUGAGCUGAAGAGCAUGUCUCUUAGCUGUUAUAAAGUCAGUCCUUAAAAGUAAUAGCUUUCAAUGAUGAACAAAAGUGACGCCUGCUCUCUGCACCCCUUCAAAGACAGCUGUGUGAAGAGCAGCGUUCUACUCUUAAGUUCAAACCAAUUGAACUAACCGGGGAAAAAUAUAAAUUCACUUCCAUUAUACACAUAAAACUUGUCUUCCUUGUUGUUCUAAACGUUGGAAUCACUUAAAUUAUUAUUUUUUUAUUCCUUCUGAUGUAAGUUAAUAUCCGAGUGCCAGCUAGUGAAAGGUGAGGUGGAUUGAUCUAAAGCAGAUAAAACCUGCAGCAGCUGGCCAAUUUUUAUCUUUGUCAUCAGAAGGAUCCCAGCCCUCUAUAAGCAGAUACCUUUCCUCUCAGGUGAACAAACGUGCUUCCCUUCUUUACCCACCGUGCAAAUCUUUGAUGAACAGAUGCAGCAAUAAAUAUAAAACAGCAAUCUAAAGCUCUUUUUACAUCUCUCGUAGCUGAAAAGCAAAAAUGUAAAAUCAGAUUAUGUGAGACGCAGCUCAGACAAAUGUUGUUACAAAGGAAGACGAGCACAAAAUAAAUCUUAUUUCUCCGGCAAGGAAA
Molecule: long non-coding RNA, 1063 nt
Organism: Oxyura jamaicensis (ruddy duck)
Lineage: Eukaryota; Metazoa; Chordata; Aves; Anseriformes; Anatidae
Exons: 2
Source: RefSeq, a predicted model, not a curated record